RNAcentral lists this ribosomal RNA (829 nucleotides) under uncultured fungus. Its description in RNAcentral is "eukaryotic LSU rRNA". The stretch from base 542 to 829 matches the Rfam family "Eukaryotic large subunit ribosomal RNA", at positions 1 to 281 of the family's 3401-position model. The record is from RNAcentral. Lineage: Eukaryota; Fungi.
GGAAGGAUCAUUAUUGAAAUAAAUCUGAUGGGUUGUUGCUGGUUCUCUAGGGAGCAUGUGCACGCCUUGUCAUCUUUAUAUCUCCACCUGUGCACCUUUUGUAGACCUUUCAGGUCUAUGUUGCUUCAUUUACCCCAAUGUAUGUUAAUAGAAUGUUGUGCCUAUAUACAAUAUAUACAACUUUCAGCAACGGAUCUCUUGGCUCUCGCAUCGAUGAAGAACGCAGCGAAAUGCGAUAAGUAAUGUGAAUUGCAGAAUUCAGUGAAUCAUCGAAUCUUUGAACGCACCUUGCGCUCCUUGGUAUUCCGAGGAGCAUGCCUGUUUGAGUGUCAUUAAUAUAUAUAUAUAUCAACCUUCUCUUGUGGAAUGGUUUGGAUGUGGGGGUUUGCUGGUUUCAUAUAUAUAUAUAUAUAUGGGUUCAGCUCUCCUGAAAUGCAUUAGCAGAACGACCUGUUCAUUUGGGGUGAUAACUAUCUACGCUAUUGAAUGUGAGGGGCAGUUCAGCUUUCCAACAGUCCUCUUGGACAACUCAUCAUUAAUGUGACCUCAAAUCAGGUAGGACUACCCGCUGAACUUAAGCAUAUCAAUAAGCGGAGGAAAAGAAACUAACAAGGAUUCCCCUAGUAACUGCGAGUGAAGCGGGAAAAGCUCAAAUUUAAAAUCUGGCAGUCUUUUGUCUGUCCGAGUUGUAAUCUAGAGAAGUGUUAUCCGCGCUGGACCGUGUACAAGUCUCCUGGAAUGGAGCAUCAUAGAGGGUGAGAAUCCCGUCUUUGACAUGGACUGCCAGGGCUUUGUGAUGCGCUCUCAAAGAGUCGAGUUGUUUGGGAAU